This 144-nucleotide small RNA is filed under the name uncultured Eisenbergiella sp. RNAcentral's name for it is "Clostridiales-1 RNA". It matches the Rfam family "Clostridiales-1 RNA", at positions 15 to 158 of the family's 166-position model. The record is from RNAcentral. Lineage: Bacteria; Bacillati; Bacillota; Clostridia; Lachnospirales; Lachnospiraceae.
AAGCGGCUGUCCUGACUGCGUGCUUGCACGUAAGGAUGCACAGACAUUUGGCAACCGGGCCGAAAUGAGUGAGAAGGCCGAUAGGCCGGAUCACGAAUUUUGGCGGCGAUUGCGGGAGUACCUAAGGUACGGAGCGAUCGGCUU